RNAcentral lists this ribosomal RNA (497 nucleotides) under uncultured bacterium. Its description in RNAcentral is "partial 16S ribosomal RNA". It matches the Rfam family "Bacterial small subunit ribosomal RNA", at positions 28 to 507 of the family's 1533-position model. The record is from RNAcentral.
GAUGAACGCUGGCGGCGUGCCUAAUACAUGCAAGUCAAGCGAACGGACGAGAAGCUUGCUUUUCUGAUGUUAGCCGCGGACGGGUGAGUAACACGUGGAUAACCUACCUAUAAGACUGGGAUAACUUCGGGAAACCGGAGCUAAUACCGGAUAAUAUUUUGAACCGCAUGGUUCAAAAGUGAAAGACGGUCUUGCUGUCACUUAUAGAUGGAUCCGCGCUGCAUUAGCUAGUUGGUACGUAAACGGCGUACCAAGGCAACUAUGCGUGGCCGACGUGAGAGGGGGGUCGCCCACACGGGAGGGGAGCCGCGGUCCAGAGUCCUAAGGGAGGCAGCAGUAGGGAAUGGUCCGCAGUGGGCGAGAGCCUGACGGAGCAGCGCGGCGUGAGUGAUGAAGGUGUUCGGAGCGGGAAGCUGUGUUAUUGGUGAAGAACAUAUUUGUAAGUUACUGAGCAGUGCUUGACGGUACCUGGUCAAGAAGCCACGGCUAACUACGUG